GAGCAGCCGGAGCAGCUGUUCCCACUCUCCCAAACAGUUGUGGCAUCAACCUGCCCGGGCAUAAAUCACCCCCCUGGGCUCGUCUGUUCCUGGUGGCCACUUGCAGCCACGGGAAAUAAGCCAUUAGCCAGGAGCGGGGCAGGCCUGAGGGUUAAGGAGAUGGUGAUAGAUUGGGGGGGAGGAGGUGAAUGGAGUUUGGGAAGCACCAGCAGAACGUGGCUUCCCACUGGCAGGGCCAGAUUCUGCCUGGCACCGUGUCCCCGUCACUGCCUGGUCCUGUGUCCCCAUCACUGCCUGGUCCUGUGUCCCCAUUGCUCUCCAGUCCUGUGUCCCCAUUGCUCUCCAGUCCCAUGUCCCCCUUGCUGCCCUCUUCUGCAUCCUCUUUCCUGCCCCAUCCUGCAGCCCUGUUCCUGCCCCGACCCAUGUCCCCCUUCCUGCCCUGUCCCAUGUCCCCAUUGCUGCCCUGUUCUGCACCACCAUCGCUGUCCCAUCACAUGUUACCGUCACUGUCCCACCCCAUGUCCCCAUCACUGUGCCAUCCCAUGUCCCCAUCACUGUCCCAUCCCAUGUUCCCAUCAUUGUCCAAUCCCAUGUCCCCAUCCCAUGUCCCCAGCACUGUCCCAUCCCAUGUCCCCAUCACUGUCCCAUCCCAUGUCCCCACCACUGUCCCAUCCCAUGUCCCCGUCCUGUGUUCCCAUCACUGUCCCAUCCCAUGUUCCCAUCCCAUGUUCCCAUCCCAUGUCCCCCUUGCUGUCCCACCCCAUGCUCCCAUCACUGUCCCAUCCCAUGUUCCCAUCCCAUGCCCCCAUCACUGUCCCAUCCCAUGUCCCCAUCACUGUCCCAUCCCAUGUUCCCAUCCCAUGUUCCCAUCAUUGUCCCAUCCCAUGUCCCUGUCCUGUGUCCCCAUCACUGUCCCAUCCCAUGUCCCCAUCACUGUCCCAUCCCGUGCCCCCAUCGCUGUCCAUCCCAUGCUCCCAUCACUGUCCCAUCCCAUGACCCCAUCACAUGUCCCCAUCCCAUGUCCCCAUCGCUGUCCCAUCCCAUGUCCCCAUCACUGGGCCAUCCCCACAACCCUGGACUCUGUGCCUGCCCCACUCAGACCACGGCCAAGGGGGAUGGGAUGGGCAUGUGGGGGGCACCCAGCUCCCCCCAGCACACCCCCAGCACGCAGACCCCAGUCUCCAGCCCCUCCCUGGGAGCAUCUUGGGGACAAUCCCCUGCAAUGCACAUCUUCCCACCUCACUCCCAGCCCUGGGGCUGGACCACCAACCCUCCUGGGGUCCCAGCAGUGGGUGAGGGGGCUGCGGGGGGGGCUCACCCCAGCAGAGCCCCAUCCAUCCCCGGGUGGCACUGGGCACUGCCGGAGUUGAUGGAGCAGCCGUUGCUGAUCAGCAGGG
Molecule: long non-coding RNA, 1397 nt
Filed under: Calidris pugnax (ruff)
Lineage: Eukaryota; Metazoa; Chordata; Aves; Charadriiformes; Scolopacidae
Description: lncRNA (ENSCPUG00000007373.1)
Source: RNAcentral